Molecule: ribosomal RNA, 486 nt
Filed under: uncultured organism
Description: bacterial SSU rRNA
Rfam family: Bacterial small subunit ribosomal RNA
Source: RNAcentral
GAUGAACGCUAGCGGCAGGCCUAACACAUGCAAGUCGAGGGGCAGCGAGGGUAGCAAUACCUGUCGGCGACCGGCGCACGGGUGAGUAACGCGUAUGCAACCUACCCUUCACAGGGGGAUAGCCCGCCGAAAGGCGGAUUAAUACCCCAUGGCCCCAUGGUCCGGCAUCGGAUUAUGGGUAAAGGAGCAAUCCGGUGGAGGAUGGGCAUGCGUGCCAUUAGCUAGUUGGCGGGGUAACGGCCCACCAAGGCGACGAUGGCUCGGGGGUCUGAGAGGAUGGUCCCCCACACUGGUACUGAGACACGGACCAGACUCCUACGGGAGGCAGCAGUGAGGAAUAUUGGUCAAUGGGCGGAAGCCUGAACCAGCCAUGCCGCGUGCAGGAAGACGGCCCUACGGGUUGUAAACUGCUUUUCCGGGGGAAGAAUAAGGGCGACGUGUCGCCCGAUGCCGGUACCCCGGGAAUAAGGAUCGGCUAACUCCGUG